This is an RNA transcript of Hordeum vulgare subsp. vulgare (domesticated barley), 1386 nucleotides long. RefSeq lists it as uncharacterized. The record is from RefSeq and is a predicted model, not a curated record. The transcript is spliced from 3 exons. NCBI's taxonomy places the organism in Eukaryota, Viridiplantae, Streptophyta, Magnoliopsida, Poales, Poaceae.
AGUUUCUUACCUCUUCGAUAGGCAGGCCCAACCCCGAUCCCCAAUCUCCUCUGUCCUGACCCGCUCGUCAACCCUAGCCGCCAGUGACGGACAAGGCCAUCCCGCCGCCGCCGCCGGCCAACUCGUCCGGUGACCCUGCCGCCGCCGGCCAACAGUCUGGCCACCCCGUCGACACUCUCCUCCUCGAGUCGCCCCUUCCCCACACCGCGAGUCCUUCGUCUACCUCUCCGCCCCAACCUGCCAGCAGUCGGCUCCGGCCAAGGUUGUCGACGUUGCUCCUCUGCCCCGUCGGCGCCGCUUCAGAAGCUCAGGAUUUAUAUACGAGAGCAUACAAUCUUUUUUAGUACACACAGUGACAUGAACUUUCAUAUAGAAUUGUCCAACAUGGUUGCUGAAUAGACCAUUGAGAACACUAGGAUUAUCACCGAGUUGUUUGUCGAGCAAGUGAGAGCUGGAAAUAGGCCAAAUACUCACUUGACCUCCUAUGCAUAUGAUGAGGUGGGGAGGCAAUUCAAAAUAAGAACAGGGCUGGAGUACAACAAUGACCAAUUGAAGAAAAAAUGGGACAAACUCAGAGCUGAAUACGACAUAUUCAAGAAACUUAAGUUGAAGGAGACUGGAGCGGGAUCGGACAUAGAGCGUAACACUGUGAAACAAGAUGCGGAGUGGUGGAAGAAGGCAAAGAUAACAUUCCAGGUUGUCAAGUUCAGGAAGCAUGGACUUCGCAAUGAAGAGAACUUGCGCGUCAUGUUUGAAGACAUCACAAGUGACGGUUCCAUCAUUGGAAUCCAACUUCUGGCAUCCCACCUACUUCUACCACACUAAUAUCAAGUGCCAUAAAUCUUGAGCAAAUAGAAGAUGUUGAUCUGUUGGAGGAUACCCAAGAGGCACCAUCUCCUGUUACACCGAAGGUUAAUAAAAGGCUUGGAAAGAUCAUUUGUGACACAAACAAGAAACCCAAGACCGCACAAGUUAUGCAGGAGCAGAUUACAGUAAUUGGGGACAUUUGUAAGGAAUCACACAAGACAUUUGAGUCGUUCUUUAAGGACGAUGACACCACCUCUGUUGCAUCUGUUAUGAAAGAAGCAAUUGCUUGUGGCGCAAUAGAAGGUAGUGAUGAGCACUUCAUUGCCUCUGAGCUUUUCACCAAAAGGGAGCAAAGGGAGAUGUUUCUAAGCAUGAGUGUUGACACUCGUUUGGGUUGGCUCAGGAGGAAGUUCAGCGUCAAGUAUGGGAACUAGUUGUUUCCAAUUUAUGUCAUAUGUGUCAUGGUAGCUUAUGUCCUAUGGUACAAUAUUUAAGUACUCGUGUUGAACAAUUGUUUCCUAUAUGGCUUGUAAGAACUUAUUGAAUAAUAUUUAUGUAUGACAUGGAGUUUCAUCUUCA